AAAAAAGUAAAUUUCUGGGAAUUAUUUGAAGCAUUUUUCCUCUUCAUAACUGGGCAAUUUCCUUGAGCUUUGUCCCCAGAAUCUCAGCAUCAGAUUGUCUUGACAUCUCUGUUAUUCUGGAUACUGUGAAGCACAGCUGUACAUUGAAAAUGGAAAUCUUCUCCACAAUUAUUAGGAUCUGAAGAAAUUCAGGAACUCUGGCUCUUGGUGCUGGUGUGGAUGUGAUGAGGGGAAGAACCUUCUGAGUCCUGGCAGCAUGAAUGCUAUGUAGAAAUUUCAGCUCUACAUCUCCUGGAGCAGAGUGACCUUUAAGGAGCUAUGGAGACUAGUGGGGCAGACAGAACAAUGUUCUGGAGAAACCCUUUCAUGCCAGCACUUGCAUCAGUGUUAUAACAAUCUCUUGGACUUCUUUGACAAGAAAGUGGACUAUAGCAUCUUCUCAAGCUAACCUGAAUCUUGUGUGACAUCAUGGCUUCAGUUUUCCCAAGAAAUUUUUGCAUCCAACAUUAAUGGUGUCUGAACUGAACGUCAUGAUAGCAGAGCACAACUUAGUUGACUGAAGAUAAAAUCAAAGUUCUUGA
This 581-nucleotide long non-coding RNA is filed under the name Numida meleagris (helmeted guineafowl). RNAcentral's name for it is "lncRNA (ENSNMEG00000021639.1)". Lineage: Eukaryota; Metazoa; Chordata; Aves; Galliformes; Numididae. The record is from RNAcentral.